Molecule: ribosomal RNA, 317 nt
Filed under: uncultured Chloroflexota bacterium
Lineage: Bacteria; Bacillati; Chloroflexota
Description: bacterial SSU rRNA
Rfam family: Bacterial small subunit ribosomal RNA
Source: RNAcentral
GAUGAACGCUGGCGGCGUGCUUAACACAUGCAAGUCGAACGGACCCAAUCUUCGGAACGGGUUAGUGGCAGACGGGUGCGUAACACGUAGGUGACCUGCCCUGGAGUGGGGAAUAACUCAGCGAAAGCUGGACUAAUACCGCAUACGCUCGGUAGUUCGAUCUGCCGAGCAAAGUCGCAAGACGCUCUGGGAUGGGCCUGCGGCGGAUUAGCUAGUUGGUGGGUAACGGCCUACCAAGGCGAUGAUCCGUAGGGGGCGUGAGAGCGUGGCCCCCCACACUGGCACUGAGAUACGGGCCAGACUCCUACGGGAGGCUG